Molecule: ribosomal RNA, 854 nt
Filed under: uncultured bacterium
Lineage: Bacteria
Description: bacterial SSU rRNA
Rfam family: Bacterial small subunit ribosomal RNA
Source: RNAcentral
UUAAGCAGGAUGUGAANUCCCCGGGCUCAACCUGGGAACUGCGUUNUGAACAGGGUGACUAGAGUGUGUCAGAGGGAGGUAGAAUUCCACGUGUAGCAGUGAAAUGCGUAGAGAUGUGGAGGAAUACCGAUGGCGAAGGCAGCCUCCUGGGAUAACACUGACGUUCAUGCCCGAAAGCGUGGGUAGCAAACAGGAUUAGAUACCCUGGUAGUCCACGCCCUAAACGAUGUCGAUUAGCUGUUGGGCAGCAUGACUGCUUAGUAGCGAAGCUAACGCGUGAAAUCGACCGCCUGGGGAGUACGGUCGCAAGAUUAAAACUCAAAGGAAUUGACGGGGACCCGCACAAGCGGUGGAUGAUGUGGAUUAAUUCGAUGCAACGCGAAGAACCUUACCUGGUCUUGACAUGUACGGAACCCUCCAGAGACGGAGGGGUGCCUUCGGGAGCCGUAACACAGGUGCUGCAUGGCUGUCGUCAGCUCGUGUCGUGAGAUGUUGGGUUAAGUCCCGCAACGAGCGCAACCCUUGUCAUUAGUUGCCAUCAUUAAGUUGGGCACUCUAAUGAGACUGCCGGUGACAAGCCGGAGGAAGGUGGGGAUGACGUCAAGUCCUCAUGGCCCUUAUGACCAGGGCUUCACACGUCAUACAAUGGUCGGUACAGAGGGUAGCCAAGCCGCGAGGUGGAGCCAAUCUCACAAAACCGAUCGUAGUCCGGAUUGCACUCUGCAACUCGAGUGCAUGAAGUCGGAAUCGCUAGUAAUCGCAGGUCAGCAUACUGCGGUGAAUACGUUCCCGGGUCUUGUACACACCGCCCGUCACACCAUGGGAGUGGGGGAUACCAGAAGUAGGUAGGGUAA